GACGAACGCUGGCGGCGUGCUUAACACAUGCAAGUCGAACGGAAAGGCCCUGCUUUUGUGGGGUGCUCGAGUGGCGAACGGGUGAGUAACACGUGAGUAACCUGCCCUUGACUUUGGGAUAACUUCAGGAAACUGGGGCUAAUACCGGAUAGGAGCUCCUGCUGCAUGGUGGGGGUUGGAAAGUUUCGGCGGUUGGGGAUGGACUCGCGGCUUAUCAGCUUGUUGGUGGGGUAGUGGCUUACCAAGGCUUUGACGGGUAGCCGGCCUGAGAGGGUGACCGGCCACAUUGGGACGGAGAGACGGCCCAGACUCCUACGGGAGGCAGCAGUGGGGAAUAUGGCACAAUGGGCGGAAGCCUGAUGCAGCAACGCCGCGUGCGGGAGGACGGCCUUCGGGUUGUAAACCGCUUUCGCCUGUGACGAAGCGUGAGUGACGGUAAUGGGUAAAGAAGCACCGGCUAACUACGU
RNAcentral lists this ribosomal RNA (467 nucleotides) under uncultured bacterium. RNAcentral's name for it is "partial 16S ribosomal RNA". It matches the Rfam family "Bacterial small subunit ribosomal RNA", at positions 28 to 506 of the family's 1533-position model. The record is from RNAcentral.